CCUACGGGAGGCAGCAGUAAGGAAUAUUGGUCAAUGGAGGCAACUCUGAACCAGCCAUGCCGCGUGCAGGAUGAAGGCCCUAUGGGUCGUAAACUGCUUUUGUACCAGAGAAAACCCGAGUACGUGUACUCGGUUGAUAGUAUGGUAAGAAUAAGCAUCGGCUAACUUCGUGCCAGCAGCCGCGGUAAGACGAAGGAUGCAAGCGUUAUCCGGAUUCAUUGGGUUUAAAGGGUGCGUAGGCGGACUGAUAAGUCAGUGGUGAAAUCUCUCGGCUUAACCGAGAAACUGCCAUUGAUACUGUCAGUCUAGAGUACAGAUGAUGUGGGCGGAAUAUGACAUGUAGCGGUGAAAUGCUUAGAUAUGUCAUAGAACACCGAUUGCGAAGGCAGCUCACAAAACUGUAACUGACGCUGAGGCACGAAAGUGCGGGGAUCAAACAGGAUUAGAUACCCUGGUAGUCCGCACCGUAAACGAUGAUUACUCGUUGUUGGCAAUAUGACCGUCAGCGACCAAGCGAAAGCGAUAAGAAUCCACCUGGGGAGUACGCCGGCGAACGGUGAAACGUCAAAUGAAUUGACGG
This 580-nucleotide ribosomal RNA is filed under the name uncultured bacterium. RNAcentral's name for it is "bacterial SSU rRNA". It matches the Rfam family "Bacterial small subunit ribosomal RNA", at positions 338 to 916 of the family's 1533-position model. The record is from RNAcentral.